This 834-nucleotide ribosomal RNA is filed under the name archaeon enrichment culture. RNAcentral's name for it is "bacterial SSU rRNA". It matches the Rfam family "Archaeal small subunit ribosomal RNA", at positions 20 to 859 of the family's 1478-position model. The record is from RNAcentral.
GCGGCCACUGCUAUCAAGUUCCGACUAAGCCAUGCGAGUCAAGGUAUCGUAAGAUGCCGGCAAACUGCUCAGUAACACGUGGAUAAUCUAACCUUGAGUGAGGGAUAACUUCGGGAAACUGAAGGUAAUACCUUAUAAUUGCUUAAAACUGGAAUGUUUUUGCAAUAAAAGUUACGACGCUCAAGGAUGAGUCUGCGACCUAUCAGGUAGUAGGUGGUGUAAUGGACCACCUAGCCUCAGACGGGUACGGGCCCUGGGAGGGGUAGCCCGGAGAUGGACUCUGAGACAUAAGUCCAGGCCCUACGGGGCGCAGCAGGCGCGAACACUGUGCAAUGCGCGAAAGCGCGACACGGGGAGCUUGAGUGUCUUGGCAUAGCCAAGACUUUUCUCAUUCCUAAAAAGCAUGAGGAAUAAGUGCUGGGUAAGACGGGUGCCAGCCGCCGCGGUAACACCCGCAGCACGAGUAGUGGUCACUUUUAUUGAGCCUAAAGCGUUCGUAGCCGGUUUUGUAAAUCUUCAGAUAAAGCCUGAAGCUUAACUCCAGAAAGUCUGAAGAGACUGCAAGACUUGAGAUCGGGUGAGGUUAAACGUACUUUCAGGGUAGGGGUAAAAUCCUGUAAUCCCGGAAGGACGACCAGUGGCGAAAGCGUUUAACUAGAACGAAUCUGACGGUAAGGAACGAAGGCUAGGGUAGCAAACCGGAUUAGAUACCCGGGUAGUCCUAGCUGUAAACAUUGCCCAUUUGAUGUUGCUUUUCCGUUGAGGGAAGGCAGUGUCGGAGCGAAGGUGUUAAAUGGGCCGCUUGGGAAGUAUGGUCGCAAGACUGAAACUUAA